This 1094-nucleotide long non-coding RNA is filed under the name Sus scrofa (pig). Its description in RNAcentral is "lncRNA (ENSSSCG00025040879.1)". The record is from RNAcentral. Lineage: Eukaryota; Metazoa; Chordata; Mammalia; Artiodactyla; Suidae.
GUCUGCUACAGCUUAUAGCAACACCAGAUCCUUAACCCACUGAGUGAGGCCAUUGAUUGAACCCACAUCGUCACGGUUCUUAACCUGCUGAGCCACAACAGGAACUCCUGUUUUAUUGUUUUUUAAAUGCCGGCACCACAGAUACAAUGGGAAUUUUUUUUUUAAUCUAAGUAUUUCUCACACAAACUUUUUUUUAAUUGUUAUUUCCCCAAUACAAUUUGUUUUCUACUGUACAGCAUGGUGACCCAGUUACACAUACAUGUAUACAUUCUUUUUCUCUCAUUAUCAUGCUCCGUCAUAAGUGACUAGACCUAGUUCUCAGUGCUACACAGCAGGAUCUCAUUGCUAAUCCAUCCCAAAAGCAAUAGUUUGCAUCUGCAGUGGGAAUUCUAUUUAGCACAUCAGGCUGUUCUGAGGAAAGCAUCCAGCAUAUAGUAGGUGCAUAAUAGGUGUUAAUUCCCAUCUCACCUGGUGCCUCGUGUAACCCACCAUCAUGGGCUGGAUAAUGGUGCCCAAAGAUUAUCAGGCACAGGAGAGGUUCUUGGGAUUUUUUCCCAGGCAAAACCAUCCUCUGAGGCUGAACUUGGAUGGAGAGGCAGAGGCUUCCCCAAGGGGAAGACAAAAAUGUAAGGAAUUCAGCUUCAUGGAGCAAAUAUGAGGCAUAAGACACAGAUGGGCUAGAACAAGUCAUGACAAAGAAAUGCUUGUGAAUGAAUGUGGAAUUUUCAGCGCCUGGGUGUAAGGCACGGAAUGAAGAUUAUCUGACUGUUAGAUGAUCACGUUGUUAUUACUCUUAGGGAGCCUGUCUUACCAAUGAGGGGUCUUAGGCUUAGUGAGUCUGCCCCAGGUCACAGAGCUAGAAGGGGCAGAGCCAAGACUUAUACCCCAGGUCUCUGGGAUUUCAAUUCACUUUCUCGAAGUCGGCUGAAGACCAGGGAAGGUGUUCCAGGUGUGCCUGCCUGAGGGUGAUAUUUCUUACCUCUUUUCACCCUUUAUUUAUUUUAAAUUUUCAUUGUUUUAAAAAAUUUUUUAAUUAUAGUUGAUUUACAAUGUUGUGUCAAUUUCUUCUGUAUAGCAGUGACCCCGUCAUAUAU